AGAAUUUGAUCCUGGUUCAGAUUGAAUGCUGACGGCGUGGAUGAGGCAUGCAAGUCGAACGAGACUUUGGGGCAACUCAAAGUUUAGUGGCGAAAGGGUUAGUAAUACAUGGGUAACUUACCCUUAACUCGGGAAUAACGACUGGAAAUGGUCGCUAAUACCGGAUGAAGUGACGUUGAGGGAUCUUGAUGUCAUGAAAGUGGGGGACCUUCGGGCCCUGCGGUUAAGGAGAGGCUCAUGGGAUAUCAGCUAGUUGGUGUGGUAAAAGCGCACCAAGGCAAAGACGUCUAGGCGGAUUGAGAGAUUGACCGCCAACAUUGGGACUGAGACACUGCCCAGACUCUUACGGGAGGCUGCAGUCGAGAAUCAUUCGCAAUGGGCGAAAGCCUGACGAUGCGACGCCGUGUGAGCGAAGAAGGCCUUCGGGUUGUAAAGUUCUUUCGCCUGGGAACAAGAGAAGUUGGUGAAUAGCCAGCUGAUUUGAGGGUACCAGGUAAAGAAGCACCGGCUAACUCCGUGCCAGCAGCCGCGGUAAUACGGAGGGUGCAAGCAUUAAUCGGAUUUAUUGGGCGUAAAGGGCGCGUAGGCGGGGAUACAAGUCAGGUGAGAAAUUCCGGAGCUCAACUUCGGAACUUAGCUUGAAACUGUAUCUCUAGAGGAUAGGCGAGGAAAAUGGAAUUCCGCAAGUAGCGGUGGAAUGCGUAGAUAUGCGGAGGAACACCUGUGGCGAAAGCGAUUUUCCAGCUUAUUCCUGACGCUGAGGCGCGAAAGCAAGGGGAGCAAACAGGAUUAGAUACCCUGGUAGUCCUUGCUGUAAACGAUGUAUACUUGGUGCAUCCGGACUCAACCCCGGGUGUGUCGAAGCUAACGUGAUAAGUAUACCGCCUGAGUAGUACGCUCGCAAGAGUGAAACUCAAAAGAAUUGACGGGGACCCGCUCAAGCAGUGGAACAUGUGGUUUAAUUCGAUGCAACGCGAAGAACCUUACCCAGGCUUGACAUGCAGUGGCCAGCGCUAGAAAUAGCGUUUUCCUUCGGGACUGCUGCACAGGUGCUGCAUGGCUGUCGUCAGCUCGUGCCGUGAGGUGUUGGGUUAAGUCCCGCAACGAGCGCAACCCCUAUUAUUAGUUGCCAGCAUUUCGGAUGGGGACUCUAAUAAGACUGCCUGGGUUAACCAGGAGGAAGGUGGGGAUGACGUCAAGUCCGCAUGGCCCUUAUGUCUGGGGCUACACACGUGUUACAAUGGUCGAUACAGAGGGUAGCGAGACCGCGAGGUGGAGCAAAUCCCUAAAGUCGAUCCCAGUUCGGAUUGGAGUCUGCAAUUUGACUCCAUGAAGUUGGAAUUGCUAGUAAUGGCGUGUCAGCAACAACGCCGUGAAUACGUUCCCGGGUCUUGUACACACCGCCCGUCACAUCAUGGGAGUUGGUUUUACCCGAAGUCGCUGACUUAACCGUAAGGGGAGAGGCGCCUAAGGUGAGGCUGGUAACUAGGAUGAAGUCGUAACAAGGUA
Molecule: ribosomal RNA, 1509 nt
Filed under: metagenome
Description: bacterial SSU rRNA
Rfam family: Bacterial small subunit ribosomal RNA
Source: RNAcentral